GAUGAACGCUAGCUACAGGCUUAACACAUGCAAGUCGAGGGGCAGCAUGGUCUUAGCUUGCUAAGGCCGAUGGCGACCGGCGCACGGGUGAGUAACACGUAUCCAACCUGCCGUCUACUCUUGGACAGCCUUCUGAAAGGAAGAUUAAUACAAGAUGGCAUCAUGAGUCCGCAUGUUCACAUGAUUAAAGGUAUUCCGGUAGACGAUGGGGAUGCGUUCCAUUAGAUAGUAGGCGGGGUAACGGCCCACCUAGUCUUCGAUGGAUAGGGGUUCUGAGAGGAAGGUCCCCCACAUUGGAACUGAGACACGGUCCAAACUCCUACGGGAGGCAGCAGUGAGGAAUAUUGGUCAAUGGGCGCAGGCCUGAACCAGCCAAGUAGCGUGAAGGAUGACUGCCCUAUGGGUUGUAAACUUCUUUUAUAAAGGAAUAAAGUCGGGUAUGUAUACCCGUUUGCAUGUACUUUAUGAAUAAGGAUCGGCUAACUCCGUGCCAGCAGCCGCGGUAAUACGGAGGAUCCGAGCGUUAUCCGGAUUUAUUGGGUUUAAAGGGAGCGUAGAUGGAUGUUUAAGUCAGUUGUGAAAGUUUGCGGCUCAACCGUAAAAUUGCAGUUGAUACUGGAUAUCUUGAGUGCAGUUGAGGCAGGCGGAAUUCGUGGUGUAGCGGUGAAAUGCUUAGAUAUCACGAAGAACUCCGAUUGCGAAGGCAGCCUGCUAAGCUGCAAC
This 723-nucleotide ribosomal RNA is filed under the name uncultured Bacteroidales bacterium. RNAcentral describes it as "bacterial SSU rRNA". It matches the Rfam family "Bacterial small subunit ribosomal RNA", at positions 28 to 740 of the family's 1533-position model. The record is from RNAcentral. Lineage: Bacteria; Pseudomonadati; Bacteroidota; Bacteroidia; Bacteroidales.